This 952-nucleotide non-coding RNA is filed under the name Mus musculus (house mouse). The record is from RNAcentral. Lineage: Eukaryota; Metazoa; Chordata; Mammalia; Rodentia; Muridae.
GAGGACCGUAUUCAUGGAAGAGGAUUGAACAGAAGACUACUGAGUUCUUAAGAGAAAAAUGGCACUUAAGAAAUUGAUGGUGAUAUCAAAGGAAGGUUACUUAUUACUCUUGGACUUUGAUGAUGAGGACGAUGACAUAAAAGUUUCAGAGGAGGCUCUUGCGGAAGUAAAGAGCCCAGGAUUUGAUAAAAAUGAGAAUAUAUCGCCUCAAGCAGAAGCAGAUGAAUAUAUGGGAGAUGAAGUAGACAGUAUGUUGGAUAAAUCUGGAGUAAAGAAUCCAGCAAUUGGUAAAGAUGAGAAUAUGUCGCCUCAAGUAAAAGGAGAUGAAGACAUGGGAGAUGAAAUUGACAGUAUGUUGGCUACAUCUGGAGGUCUUUUCUCCUGAGAACACGGGACUCCAGCAUCUUCGGAUUCUGCUCUUGGAGGUGUGAGUCCCUGCCUCUCUGCACAGGGGAACUUAUGUCUCUCCACAUGUCCGCAAAUGUCUACCCAAGAUUAUACAUCUUCCAAAGGCUUUCAAAUACUUCUUUACAUAAACAAGGGGUUUGCCCCACAUCCUCUAUAUUGCAGAAAACAAGACUAGGCUCUACCUCUGUAGAUCAAGCACGACUGAAAUCCGUGCUCUCAAAAGAUGCUGGGGAGAAAGAGUGCCAUUCUUCACAAAUGCUGAUGUGUGCAGCUGAACAGAGCGUUGAGGAAACGUCAGUGAUUUUAUAGCUGCUUGUCAUGUUGGGAGAUUGUUGUGAUGAUUGCCUGGACUCUCAGAUGUUACACAGGAUAAGAGAGAGUCCAGGCAAUAGUCGGAACGAUCUUCCAAUGUGAUAGGUGGUUGUACAAGCAUUGAUGUUUCCUCAAGGCUGUGUUCACCUGCACACAUCGCUGCAUCAUUGGACUGAAAGUGAAUGGCCCAUGUAUUGCCACUGAUGUGAGCCAUUUGCCUGUUGUGCUUCAA